RNAcentral lists this ribosomal RNA (497 nucleotides) under uncultured bacterium. Its description in RNAcentral is "partial 16S ribosomal RNA". It matches the Rfam family "Bacterial small subunit ribosomal RNA", at positions 28 to 507 of the family's 1533-position model. The record is from RNAcentral.
GACGAACGCUGGCGGCGUGCCUAAUACAUGCAAGUCGAGCGAACAGACGAGGAGCUUGCUCCUCUGACGUUAGCGGCGGACGGGUGAGUAACACGUGGAUAACCUACCUAUAAGACUGGGAUAACUUCGGGAAACCGGAGCUAAUACCGGAUAAUAUAUUGAGCCGCAUGGUUCAAUAGUGAAAGACGGUUUUGCUGUCACUUAUAGAUGGAUCCGCGCCGCAUUAGCUAGUUGGUAAGGUAACGGCUUACCAAGGCGACGAUGCGUAUCCGACCUGAGAGGGUGAUCGGCCACACUGGAACUGAGACACGGUCCAGACUCCUACGGGAGGCAGCAGUAGGGAAUCUUCCGCAAUGGGCGAAAGCCUGACGGAGCAACGCCGCGUGAGUGAUGAAGGUCUUCGGAUCGUAAAACUCUGUUAUUAGGUAAGAACAAAUGUGUAAGUAACUAUGCACGUCUUGACGGUACCUAAUCAGAAAGCCACGGCUAACUACGUG